This 99-nucleotide signal recognition particle RNA is filed under the name Bacteroidales bacterium. RNAcentral's name for it is "signal recognition particle sRNA small type". It matches the Rfam family "Bacteroidales small SRP". From Rfam's summary of the family: The non-coding component of the signal recognition particle in Bacteroides Lineage: Bacteria; Pseudomonadati; Bacteroidota; Bacteroidia; Bacteroidales. The record is from RNAcentral.
GGGAAAGUCUUGCACGACCAGCUCCCUCUGAAUUCCCCCAGGGUUGGAAGACAGCAAGGGUAGGAGGUUGUAGCGGUGCGAUGCAAGGGGCUUUCCCUU